UCUGUGGCUGGGGAGAGAAAGAGUCAAGUCAUAAGUGUAUAAAGAUAAACUUCCUUUCAGUUGACUGAAUGUCAAGUGGUUUCAACUGAAGCUGCUAAAAAAAAAAAAUCCUCAUUCACUGCCAUUGACGGCCAUUUGAACUGGUCUGGCAGUGAAUGAGUUAAAAAGAGAAAAUUCUCAUUACCAAAAAACUGGUUGGAUGAUGGCGGCGGAUUUGUCGUCCGCGAACGCACUUCUUCACAGACGAUUGGACCGUCGACUUCCUCGGAUUCUAUCAACGUAAAAAAGAGGGGGGAAAUGAAAUAAAUAAGCAUGUUGUCUGGGUUAAGCACACAUCCUCAUCAAGUUGGAGCCUUUUCCAGUUGAGGUGCGGUCCACACUGGUUACCAACCAAUCACAGGACCCGUACCAUUCAUGUUCACACCUAUGGAUCAUUCAGAGACUUUAACUAAUGAACUUCCAUGUUUAUGGAAUGUGGAUGGACAUGAGUGCCGAACUUCAAAACCAAGCCUCAGAACUAUGAGGCAAGGCACAUUUUCUAACCACUUAACCUUGCUUGUCCAGUGCUUUGUGUUUUUCUAGUGUUCACACACACUGAAAAACAAGAACUAAUAAGUAACAAAGUGGUGACCACAUCUCUAUUGUGUAGUUCCACUUUACAUGACUAGGUAUUUUUUUUAAAGAAUACCUAAGCCACGGUCAACUGCUACACAGGAGGGAUCGGUGAUGGAAGUUGGCCCUGGAUAUGAAAGGAAAACGUGACAUUAUAUGCAGAUAAAAGUCAUGCAGUAUGUAUUAAAGAAAUAAUAGAUUAUGUCUCACCUAUGGUGACAGUAGCAGGGUCGCUCCACAUUUCGUGAAACAAAUUGAACACUUUGCAUCUGUACUGUCCUCUGUGUGCUGUGGUCACGCACGGGAUCUGGAAAGUCAGAAACGGAACUUGUAGCUGAUCACCUUUGGAAAUGUUACCCUGUUUUGCAAAAUAUAAGAUGAGGGUGACUUACUUUGAGUAAACGUAUCUUGUUUUGUGGCAUCGGAGUUGAGUUGUGGUACCACUGGUACUGGGCAGGGGGGUUGGCCACGGCACUGCACUUCAGGAGCAGCGUGUCACCUUCAGAUGCCAUUUGGGACUGAGGCUGGGAGAUGAUACGCACGGCAGUGGAUGAGCCUGAAAACAUACGGCUGCUGCAGCCUGAAUUGACAACAUUUGAAAAGGUUCAUGGAGCUUUGUAAAGUGGCUAGUGUGAAAAUCAUAAUGUUCACUUGGAGGGUCAUACCUGGACUCAAGCUAGGUUUGGAACGGAGCAAGCGCACCCGAGCCCACUGGGAGAAGACGCAGGUGUCUCCAUAGUUGACCCUACAGAUGUAGCUACCCUUGUGCUCGGGGCCCAAAGGACACACAACGAGCUCGGGUGUGCGUCCGCUGGCUUCCCAAAUCUGAUACAGAGACAAUUAUAGAAUAAUUUAAUCUGAUCUCCAUAUCCGGUCAUUGCUAAUAGCAACGCUCACCUCUUCUUUGCCUUUAAACCAUUGGUAAACUAAUCCAGGAGGCCCACAGGCUCGGCAAGUCAACACAACUCUGCUGCCCAAUGUGGCCUGCUGGGAGUUAGGAUGGACCGUGAUCUGGAUGUUCUCUGUUGCUGUUUUACAUAAAGAGCAAACACUCAUUUGAGUCAAUGCUCUUUAAUAAUAAUAAUAACUAUGAUCAAGUCAUGUCUUUGGGUGGACAUUUAGCCCGGUAGAAGCCUACCUGUAGUGGUGAGCAGCUGCACGGCCUCCUGGUGGUCAAUCUUCUUCAGACACUGGAGCAGAAAGAGCAGAGAGCAGGAUCGGUCGACCAGAAGAGCUAAGAAGCUGCGCCCUGGGCUUCCUGUUGCACUUAGAACUUGGAGCGAGCAGUUGGUCACAUCCCUUUCACUGCACAGGGGGAAUUUAGUGUUAGAUAUACUGUAAACUCCCAGAAGGUUCAUGAUGAAUUCAACUACACACGUUUGCGUCUUUUGAUUCGCUGUCCUACAAUUUUCCCAAUAAAAAUGAAUUUGAAUAAGUGAA
Molecule: long non-coding RNA, 2052 nt
Organism: Syngnathus typhle (broad-nosed pipefish)
Lineage: Eukaryota; Metazoa; Chordata; Actinopteri; Syngnathiformes; Syngnathidae
Exons: 2
Source: RefSeq, a predicted model, not a curated record